UACGAGGGGGGCGAGCGUUGUUCGGAAUUAUUGGGCGUAAAGGGUGCGUAGGCGGUUUUGUAAGUCUUAUGUGAAAUCUACAGGCUCAACUUGUAGUCUGCAUGAGAAACUGCAGGGCUUGAGUAUGGGAGAGGUGAGUGGAAUUCCUGGUGUAGCGGUGAAAUGCGUAGAUAUCAGGAGGAACACCUGUGGCGAAAGCGGCUCACUGGACCAUAACUGACGCUGAUGCACGAAAGCCAGGGGAGCAAACGGG
Molecule: ribosomal RNA, 253 nt
Filed under: uncultured bacterium
Lineage: Bacteria
Description: partial 16S ribosomal RNA
Rfam family: Bacterial small subunit ribosomal RNA
Source: RNAcentral